UGAAUACGAGAUGCUACGGCAUUGAAGCAGUCUAUGUCAGACUUCCAAGAAAAGCUCGCAAUGUCAUAAACAAGAAAUGCCUGUACCAUAACCGACACAGGUGGGUAGGUAGAGUAUACUAAGGGGCGCGAGAUAACUCUCUCCAAGGAACUCGGCAAAAUGACUCCGUAACUUCGGGAGAAGGAGUGCCUUAUUUUAUAAGGUUGCAAUAACAAGAUCCAAGCAACUGUUUACCAAAAACACAGGUCUCCGCUAAGUCGUAAGACGAUGUAUGGGGGCUGACGCCUGCCCAGUGCCAGAAGGUUAAAGAAGUUGGUUAGCCUAGCGAAGCUGAUGACUGAAGCCCUGGUGAACGGCGGCCGUAACAAUAACGGUCCUAAGGUAGCGAAAUUCCUUGUCGGGUAAGUUCCGACCCGCACGAAAGGCGUAAUGAUUUGGAUACUGUCUCGGAGAGGGGCUCGGUGAAAUAGACUUGUCUGUGAAGAUGCGGACUACCUGCACCUGGACAGAAAGACCCUAUGAAGCUUUACUGUAACUUGAGAUUGAAAUUGGACUUUAUUUGCGCAGUAUAGGUGGGAGACGUUGAGAAUAUUCUUGCGGGAGUAUUGGAGUCAUCAGUGAGAUACCACUCUUGUAAUGUUAGAUUUCUAACUUUGGAUCAUUAUCUGGUCAAAGGACAGUUUCAGGCGGGCAGUUUGACUGGGGCGGUCGCCUCCCAAACGGUAACGGAGGCGCACAAAGGUUUCCUCUGAACGUGUAGAAAUCGUAUCUAGAGUGUAAAGGCAUAAGGAAGCUUGACUGUGAGACCUACAAGUCGAGCAGGGACGAAAGUCGGUCUUAGUGAUCUGACGGUGCUGAGUGGAAAGGCCGUCACUCAACGGAUAAAAGUUACUCUAAGGAUAACAGGCUGAUCUCCCCCAAGAGUUCACAUCGACGGGGAGGUUUGGCACCUCGAUGUCGGCUCAUCGCAUCCUGGGGCGGUAGUACGUCCCAAGGGUUGGGCUGUUCGCCCAUGAAAGCGGUACGCGAGCUGGGUUCAGAACGUCGUGAGACAGUUCGGUCCAUAUCCGGUGUAGGCGUUAGAAUAUUGAGAGGAGCCUUCUUUAGUACGAGAGGACCGAGAAGGACAUACCUCUGGUGUACCAGUUAUCGUGCCAACGGUAAACGCUGGGUAGCUAUGUAUGGAGAGGAUAACCGCUGAAAGCAUCUAAGUGGGAAGCCCACCUCAAGAUAAGUAUUCUC
Molecule: ribosomal RNA, 1242 nt
Filed under: metagenome
Description: bacterial LSU rRNA
Rfam family: Bacterial large subunit ribosomal RNA
Source: RNAcentral